UGCCAGCCGCCGCGGUAACACGGACCGUACGAACGUUAUUCGGAAUCACUGGGCUUAAAGAGUGCGUAGGCGGCUUGGAAAGUUGGGUGUGAAAUCCCUCGGCUCAACCGAGGAAUUGCGCUCAAAACUGCCAAGCUUGAGGGAGAUAGAGGUGAGCGGAACUAAUGGUGGAGCGGUGAAAUGCGUUGAUAUCAUUAGGAACACCGGUGGCGAAAGCGGCUCACUGGGUCUCUUCUGACGCUGAGGCACGAAGGCUAGGGGAGCGAACGGGAUUAGAUA
Molecule: ribosomal RNA, 279 nt
Filed under: uncultured bacterium
Lineage: Bacteria
Description: partial 16S ribosomal RNA
Rfam family: Bacterial small subunit ribosomal RNA
Source: RNAcentral